GCCCGCGGCGCAUUAGCUAGUUGGUGAGGUAAGGGCUCACCAAGGCGACGAUGCGUAGCCGACCUGAGAGGGUGAUCGGCCACACUGGAACUGAGACACGGUCCAGACUCCUACGGGAGGCAGCAGUGGGGAAUAUUGCACAAUGGGCGAAAGCCUGAUGCAGCAACGCCGCGUGAGCGAUGAAGGCCUUCGGGUCGUAAAGCUCUGUCUUUGGGGACGAUAAUGACGGUACCCAAGGAGGAAGCCACGGCUAACUAC
This 258-nucleotide ribosomal RNA is filed under the name uncultured bacterium. Its description in RNAcentral is "partial 16S ribosomal RNA". It matches the Rfam family "Bacterial small subunit ribosomal RNA", at positions 229 to 504 of the family's 1533-position model. The record is from RNAcentral.